AGUGAACGCUGGCGGUAGGCCUAACACAUGCAAGUCGAACGGCAGCACAGUAAGAGCUUGCUCUUACGGGUGGCGAGUGGCGGACGGGUGAGGAAUACAUCGGAAUCUACUUUUUCGUGGGGGAUAACGUAGGGAAACUUACGCUAAUACCGCAUACGACCUACGGGUGAAAGCAGGGGAUCUUCGGACCUUGCGCGAUUGAAUGAGCCGAUGUCGGAUUAGCUAGUUGGCGGGGUAAAGGCCCACCAAGGCGACGAUACGUAGCUGGUCUGAGAGGAUGAUCAGCCACACUGGAACUGAGAAACGGUCCAGACUCCUACGGGAGGCAGCAGUGGGGAAUAUUGGACAAUGGGCGCAAGCCUGAUCCAGCCAUACCGCGUGGGUGAAGAAGGCCUUCGGGUUGUAAAGCCCUUUUGUUGGGAAAGAAAAGCAGAAGGUUAAUACCCCGCUGUUCUGACGGUACCCAAAGAAUAAGCACCGGCUAACUUCGUG
This 492-nucleotide ribosomal RNA is filed under the name uncultured bacterium. Its description in RNAcentral is "partial 16S ribosomal RNA". It matches the Rfam family "Bacterial small subunit ribosomal RNA", at positions 29 to 507 of the family's 1533-position model. The record is from RNAcentral.